Non-coding RNA from Urocitellus parryii (Arctic ground squirrel), 391 nucleotides. The record is from RefSeq and is a predicted model, not a curated record. Lineage: Eukaryota; Metazoa; Chordata; Mammalia; Rodentia; Sciuridae.
UCAUUGUAGCUGUGGUCUGUUUUGACUUGUGGAAGAAGAGAAACACAGGUGUAAAAAAAGGGCCCUAUGCUCCAGCUGCCUGUAAUGACAGUGCCCAGGGCUCUGAUGUGUCUCUCACUGCUGAGAAAGUGUGAGACAGCUGCCUUCUGUGGGACUGAGCAACACAGGAUUUCUUUAGUUCAUUCCUGCUCCCUACUGAGAUUUCAAGAGGUUCUAACUUCUCUGUGUAGCUGGCAUCUAACUGUGUCUAUGUGUCUGUGUUCCUAUCAUCAUCACUGAGGAAAUGCAGAGAAGAGCACAUCCCUGACCACCAAGAUCCCUCCCCACACUGUCCUGUUCUCUUCCUCAAUCAACUUUCCUAUGUAGCAGAUGUGGGGCUGGGAUGUCUCCA